GAUGAACGCUGGCUGCGUGCCUAAUACAUGCAAGUCGAGCGAACGGACGAGAAGCUUGCUUCUCUGAUGUUAGCGGCGGACGGGUGAGUAACACGUGGAUAACCUACCUAUAAGACUGGGAUAACUUCGGGAAACCGGAGCUAAUACCGGAUAAUAUUUUGAACCGCAUGGUUCAAAAGUGAAAGACGGUCUUGCUGUCACUUAUAGAUGGAUCCGCGCUGCAUUAGCUAGUUGGUAAGGUAACGGCUUACCAAGGCAACGAUGCAUAGCCGACCUGAGAGGGUGAUCGGCCACACUGGAACUGAGACACGGUCCAGACUCCUACGGGAGGCAGCAGUAGGGAAUCUUCCGCAAUGGGCGAAAGCCUGACGGAGCAACGCCGCGUGAGUGAUGAAGGUCUUCGGAUCGUAAAACUCUGUUAUUAGGGAAGAACAUAUGUGUAAGUAACUGUGCACAUCUUGACGGUACCUAAUCAGAAAGCCACGGCUAACUACGUGCCAGCAGCCGCGGUAAUACGUAGGUGGCAAGCGUUAUCCGGAAUUAUUGGGCGUAAAGCGCGCGUAGGCGGUUUUUUAAGUCUGAUGUGAAAGCCCACGGCUCAACCGUGGAGGGUCAUUGGAAACUGGAAAACUUGAGUGCAGAAGAGGAAAGUGGAAUUCCAUGUGUAGCGGUGAAAUGCGCAGAGAUAUGGAGGAACACCAGUGGCGAAGGCGACUUUCUGGUCUGUAACUGACGCUGAUGUGCGGAAGCGUGGGGAUCAAACAGGAUUAGAUACCCUGGUAGUCCACGCCGUAAACGAUGAGUGCUAAGUGUUAGGGGGUUUCCGCCCCUUAGUGCUGCAGCUAACGCAUUAAGCACUCCGCCUGGGGAGUACGACCGCAAGGUUGAAACUCAAAGGAAUUGACGGGGACCCGCACAAGCGGUGGAGCAUGUGGUUUAAUUCGAAGCAACGCGAAGAACCUUACCAAAUCUUGACAUCCUUUGACAACUCUAGAGAUAGAGCCUUCCCCUUCGGGGGACAAAGUGACAGGUGGUGCAUGGUUGUCGUCAGCUCGUGUCGUGAGAUGUUGGGUUAAGUCCCGCAACGAGCGCAACCCUUAAGCUUAGUUGCCAUCAUUAAGUUGGGCACUCUAAGUUGACUGCCGGUGACAAACCGGAGGAAGGUGGGGAUGACGUCAAAUCAUCAUGCCCCUUAUGAUUUGGGCUACACACGUGCUACAAUGGACAAUACAAAGGGCAGCGAAACCGCGAGGUCAAGCAAAUCCCAUAAAGUUGUUCUCAGUUCGGAUUGUAGUCUGCAACUCGACUACAUGAAGCUGGAAUCGCUAGUAAUCGUAGAUCAGCAUGCUACGGUGAAUACGUUCCCGGGUCU
This 1372-nucleotide ribosomal RNA is filed under the name uncultured bacterium. Its description in RNAcentral is "bacterial SSU rRNA". It matches the Rfam family "Bacterial small subunit ribosomal RNA", at positions 28 to 1381 of the family's 1533-position model. The record is from RNAcentral.